This 25-nucleotide non-coding RNA is filed under the name Mus musculus (house mouse). Lineage: Eukaryota; Metazoa; Chordata; Mammalia; Rodentia; Muridae. The record is from RNAcentral.
UGACGAAGAGUAGGCCAGUUCCAGA